This is a long non-coding RNA of Antechinus flavipes (yellow-footed antechinus), 402 nucleotides long. RefSeq lists it as uncharacterized. The transcript is spliced from 3 exons. Lineage: Eukaryota; Metazoa; Chordata; Mammalia; Dasyuromorphia; Dasyuridae. The record is from RefSeq and is a predicted model, not a curated record.
GGCGGCGGCAGCGGGGGUCGGGCGGGAUAGUUUACCUGAGCACUGGUCCUACGGGGUCUGCAGGGACGGCCGAGUCUUCUUUAUCGAUGACCAACGCCGCUGUACCACCUGGUUGCACCCACGCACCGGGGAGCCCGUCAACUCGGGCCACAUGAUCCGUUCAGAUCUGCCCCGCGGCUGGGAGGAAGGCUUCUCCGAGGAAGGCGCCAGCUACUUCAUCGAGUGAGUCCCGGGGGCCCGCUAUUGUGCGCCGGGGGUGGGGAGGGGGCGGCCGGGGAGGAAGUAGUGCUGGGGUGUGGGGGGGCGGCUGGAGCUCUGGACCGCAUCGAGGCCGCCCUGCUGGACUUUGGCCAGCCCCGCCCGCACCUGGGCGCCCUGGAGAGCGCCUCUGCCCACCCGGGG